RNAcentral lists this ribosomal RNA (497 nucleotides) under uncultured bacterium. RNAcentral describes it as "partial 16S ribosomal RNA". It matches the Rfam family "Bacterial small subunit ribosomal RNA", at positions 28 to 507 of the family's 1533-position model. The record is from RNAcentral.
GAUGAACGCUGGCGGCGUGCCUAAUACAUGCAAGUCGAGCGAACAGACGAGAAGCUUGCUUCUCUGAUGUUAGCGGCGGACGGGUGAGUAACACGUGGAUAACCUACCUAUAAGACUGGGAUAACUUCGGGAAACCGUAGCUAAUACCGGAUAAUAUUUUGAACCGCAUGGUUCAAAGGUGAAAGACGGUCUUGCUGUCACUUAUAGAUGGAUCCGCGCUGCAUUAGCUAGUUGGUAAGGUAACGGCUUACCAAGGCAACGAUGCAUAGCCGACCUGAGAGGGGGAUCGGCCACACUGGAAAUGAGACACGGUCCAGACUCCUACGGGAGGCAGCAGUAGGGAAUCUUCCGCAAUGGGCGAAAGCAUGACGGAGCAACGCCGCGUGAGUGAUGAAGGUCUUCGGAUCGUAAAACUCUGUUAUUAGGGAAGAACAUAUGUGUAAGUAACUGUGCACAUCUUGACGGUACCUAAUCAGAAAGCCACGGCUAACUACGUG